This 393-nucleotide ribosomal RNA is filed under the name uncultured bacterium. RNAcentral describes it as "bacterial SSU rRNA". It matches the Rfam family "Bacterial small subunit ribosomal RNA", at positions 28 to 416 of the family's 1533-position model. The record is from RNAcentral.
GACGAACGCUGGCGGCGUGCCUAACACAUGCAAGUCGAACGGGACCAGGGGCAACUCUGGUUCAGUGGCGGACGGGUGCGUAACACGUGAGGAACAUGACCUUCGGCGGGGGAGUAGCCGGCCCAACGGCCGGGUAAGUACCGCGUACGACCUUUCGGGGUACGAUCCCUGGAUGGUGAAAGCAGCAAUGCGCCGAUGGAGUGCCUCGCGGCCUAUCAGCUAGUUGGUGAGGUAACGGCNCACCAAGGCGACGACGGGUAGCUGGUCUGAGAGGAUGGCCAGCCACAUUGGGACUGAGACACGGCCCAGACUCCUACGGGAGGGCAGCAGGUGGGGAAUAUUGCGCAAUGGACGAAAGUCUGACGCAGCGACGCCGCGUGUGGGAUGACGGUC